ACCCCACACUAUUAAGCCGACAGUUUUGAUGUAUUCAAAUUGAACCUGUGUGCUCGUUGUGGGAACAGCAAAGUCUGAUUAUUGUGUAUGGUUGUAUCAUCUCUAUGGAUACAAUCAAAGAAGUAAUACAGGACA
Molecule: small nucleolar RNA, 135 nt
Organism: Nomia melanderi (Alkali bee)
Lineage: Eukaryota; Metazoa; Arthropoda; Insecta; Hymenoptera; Halictidae
Product: small nucleolar RNA snoR639/H1
Source: RefSeq, a predicted model, not a curated record